Molecule: transfer RNA, 71 nt
Filed under: Cordylochernes scorpioides
Lineage: Eukaryota; Metazoa; Arthropoda; Arachnida; Pseudoscorpiones; Chernetidae
Description: tRNA-Gly
Source: RNAcentral
UGCAUCGGCUGGGAAUCGAACCCGGGCCGCCCGCGUGGCAGGCGAGCAUUCUACCACUAAGCCACCGAUGC